Molecule: ribosomal RNA, 468 nt
Filed under: uncultured bacterium
Lineage: Bacteria
Description: partial 16S ribosomal RNA
Rfam family: Bacterial small subunit ribosomal RNA
Source: RNAcentral
GACGAACGCUGGCGGCGUGCUUAACACAUGCAAGUCGAACGGAAAGGCCCUGCGUUUGUGGUGUUCUCGAGUGCCGAACGGGUGAGUAACACGUGAGUAACAUGCCCUUGACUUUGGGAUAACUUCAGGAAACUCGGGCUAAUACCGGAUAGGAUCUCCUGCUGCAUGGUGUGGGUUGGAAAGUUUCGGCGGUGUGGGAUGGACUCGCGGCUUAUCAGCUUGUUGGUGUGGUAGUGGCUUACGAAGGCUUUGACGGGUAGCCGGCCUGAGAGGGUGGCCGGCGACAUGGGGACUGCGGGAGGGCGCAGAAUCCUAUGGGAGGCAGCAGUGGGGAAUAUUGCAGAAUGGGCGGAAGCCAGAUGCAGCAGCGCCGCGUGCGGGAUGCCGGGUUUUGGGUUGUAAACAGAUUUGGACUGUGACGAAGCGUGAGUGACGGUAAUGAAUAAAGAAGCAACGGCUAACUACGUG